GGUAAGAAUGAACAAAAAGAGCAUGGGGUCGGAUUUGAAAGUCUUCAAAUGUAGCAGAAGCUGAUAAGACAACUUCAACUAAGUCUCCUUCUUGGAUAUCUCCAGCUGAUCUCACCAACUGGAGAAUGUUUUCAGAGGUAGGGUCAUGGCGGAAGAGAAGAAUUUUGUCAUACAUUCCGUAGAAACCACAUUCAGGAAACUUCUGGUCGACGAUGGAACAAGCCAUCUCCCGGACAUGGGCCAGGCUGAAGUCCCCUGAGGAGUCCUGCAGCAACAGCACGGGCUCCCGGCUCAGCCCGAUCUGGAGGUGGAAGGCGACGCCGCCGCCAGCAGCGGCAGCAGCAGCAGCCCCGGGCGGCGGCAGCGGGCUAGGCGGGCGGAGCAGCGGAGGAGCGCUCAUCGGGACCAGCCUGCCGCGGCGCCGCGGGGCCGGGGAAGGAGACAGAGACGCGGACGCCGCGGUGAAAAGUUCGCGGCCGCCCCGAAGGCGCCGGGCGAGUUUCUUCGCGAAGUUUCAGGGAAGUCCCGGUCGAGUUGCUCCCGAGUGAAAAUGGCGAGGGGGGGGGAAUAGGGGCGGAGGACCGGAGAGGAUGCAGACAGGAAAAGGCGGCGAGAGAGGAGAGGCGCGAGGAGGGAGCAGGGCCCGGCGCCGCCGAGGUGGUGCCGUCGCUCCGGCUGUUGGCGCUGUGCACGGCGCGGGGGCGGGACGGGCCGCGCCCUCAGCUGGGCCGUGCUGCGCCGCGCCGUUUCUCUACCACACGGCGGCCGCGGCCAGGACUGAGCUCGGCUUCGCGGGCACGGGGGUGUUCUCGUGACGUGUGCUGGGGACCCGCGGGUACCGGAGCUGUGGAGGGAAGAGCAUCCCCUUCCCCUCCCGCCUCCGCUGGAUAGAACCGUCUAAGCAGCCUUCGUGCCUUCCCCGGGACGCCUUUCCGGGCCGCAGGAGGAGGUAGAGCCCGAGGAACCUCCGGUUUGUAGGCAGCACGGAGAGUUCUCAGUGCAUGGCAGGAGGAACGAGGGACAGCCAGCUCCGUAGCCGCGAUAAACAGCUGCGGUUGGUGCUGAGGCGCUCCUGGCCUCCUCAGCGCGGGAACGAGCUAUUCCUCCUGACUUUCAGGAUCAGUGCAAGUCUCACACGUCUGUAGAAGUAGCACCGAUGGCAGGCAACAUUUAAACUUAAAAACAAACAACAAAAACAGCAACAUAAUCUCCACUUGGAAAUCUGUUAAGUCAGUGUGGACAAGAAUAUUUACAUUUUAGGUACCAGAGGUACUUAAAGCAGCUCUUACUGCACCCGAGAAGAUGGCGGCACUGAGUGAAUGUGAGGAUGAAAGUUGAUGAAAUUCACCACUUGUUUCUUUACAAACUGCUUUUCUGACCAAACAUGCAGCUGCAGUACUAUUUCAUUUUGAUGAACUGGUUCCUAAGGACAUGUUUUUACUGUGGUCAGCUUACUUCCCAGCUGAGCUUUGUACACACAUGCAGCACCUUGCUGUCAGUAUUUUUGAACCCAUUUAUUCUUAAGCAAAUUUUCUGACUAAAGUCGUUGCAUUUUGAUCUAAAUCUUCUACAGAAUGCCAAACCUAAUGAAAUGGACAGCACUGUAGAUUAAGAUGAUUCCUAGCUUCCCCUGGUGACUUUUUCUUAUCACAUUAGGAGUAAUAAUCAUCUUCAAGCACAUCCAUUGCCUUUACUGCUGUAAACCAUACUGCUGUCAUUGCCUGCAGCAUUUCUGUAGGAGCAGGUCAGUUGCAGCACAGCAUUGUACCCCAGCUGGUGCAGGUUACCAUUAUGAUGGUCUGUUUCCUCACAGUUUCCAAUGUACUAGACAUUUCUGUUUUGGAGUAUGCACAUUUGCACUCCCCUGUCAAAGCCUGCUGAGGACAACUACUACAAGCUUCUCAUAAUCCUGUGGUCCAGCCAACUGUCCUAUACAGGAAUCGGCACAGAAAGAGCAUGAGGUCUGUAUGCGCAUCCACAAAAGGAAGAGCAUAUGAGGUCAAAAUGCCAUCUCUGAAGGACUGCCAGAAGUUCAAAUGCAAAGGUAAGGCCAGAGCCACAUCAGGUAGCAGGUGUAAGAUUUUUCUGAGCACUCAAGUUCCCACUUCUCAGUCCACAUAUCCGUUGUUGAAAGCAGCAUAUUAGAAUUUCCUGCUACAUUGGUUCAUUGUCCAGGUGAUCCUUGAAUGCAGUAAAGUACCAUAAGUGUCAUCAGCUGCUAUCAGAGUGCUUCUUCCUUACAGCUCACUGUGGCAAAAACAGUUGUGCUCUGAUGGCAAUAGAGGUGUUGAGUUGCCCUCCUUUCUCCUGGCCUUUCUGUGUUUAAUUAUAUGGCCACCUAACUGAGCCUUUCACACCAUGAGUCACGCAAUGGCAUUGGCUUUCAAAGGAAAGAGUGGAAAACAUGACAGCUGUGCAUGUAGUUAGCUUUGUGCAGUGUUACAGCUCUUCUGCAUCUCAAAAUAACUGAGUAGCACUCAACAGCAGCCAUAGUGGGCAAGGUAACAGUAUUGUAAUUUGUAUCAGAAAAUUAUUACACAGUAGCAGUGCUGAGAAUUUCACAUUCAUGUUUUUGUUACCUCUGGAAAUCUAGCAAUGUCUCUUCGGUCAUUGCAUGCAGAUCCACGUACUCUGUGCUGACAUGGUUGCAAAGUUUUCUUCAAAAGGAAAGAUGGUAGUGGUUUUUAAAAGUUCUAGGUUUUUGUCUUGCUCACUUGGCAUAUCUGCCCUGCAAAGUACACCUUUGUAAUCAGAGUAGGUGAGGACAGGAGUUCUCCAGUGCUGUCAGCCAGUCAUAUUCAAACACUAUUUAUAAAAGGAUUUAGUGAAAUCAUAUGAUGUGAUCCUGAGUACAACCCCACCCACUGUAGUGCCUGAAAUGUCAUUUAUUUUGUGAGCCUUCCAAUGAGAGAAUUACUGCACUGAUGUCAGGGAGGGGGACAUCCUGUGCUCUUCCCUGUUACCUGAUGUGGUGUGCGUGCCUGGCUGAGCUCAUCUAUACUGGCAGAUUUGGAAAAAAAACUGAGUGUUUAGAUUUCACUAUAAGUGUACCAAUUGACUAGGCAGGACAUUAACUUAAGGGAAAAAAAAUGAGUUUGCCUCACAUGGCUACGCAGCCUAUGCAUCUAGCUAUUUACAGGAAAAGAGCAGUCAGCAGAGGACUAUCACUAAAAUCAAAUUAUGAGAACCUUUCCCAGCUGUCCUCAAGGUACAGAGCCUUACCUGUUUGUAGCAUAUGCUGGACAAGAUUUCAGUAGUUCUUGAGACAAAACUUUUCCUGCACAUGUGCACUGUGUUGCUUAUAGAGUUAUUACAAGCUGUUGUAAUAUUACUUCUAAUUGUUCUGAAUUAUUAUGAUAGGAAGGGUAGAUAGUGAUUUUUGUAAACUCAGACUGUACACUUGACCCUCCACUUAAGUCCCAUUCUGAAACUUCUUUCAGCAUCUGACACUGUAUAGAUAGAAUUCUGUUCUAUCCACUGAGAAUAAGAAUCAUCCCCUCCUUUGUUUUUCUCUACCUUUGAUAUGACUGUCCCUUUCUGAACAAUGGAUUGUGUGUCUUUCUGCUCUUUAACAUAAUUAUUCAGUGUAUGUGUUUUAAUUUUUACUUUUUUUAAUCUAAGCUCAAUCACCUAGGAAAAUAUAAUGCAGGAUGUGCCUCAAGAACAGAGAAGCAUUGUCAAUGCUCGAUGUCUAACAUAUAAGUCAAUAUAUUUGACCUAAAAUAAAUCUGAUGUGUUUACCCAGAGAGUAGAACACAGGUGAUUACUAUCAGAUUAUUACUACUGGCUUUGUUAGACUAAUAGUAGAAUACAAUUUCCAGUUCUGGGACUGGUACUUUGAAAAUAUGUUGUUUGGCAGUAUAGCCAGUAGUAUAGUGCAUCUUAGCAAGGAAAAAAAAGCAGAGAAAGGACUAUGAAGAAACAAUCUGUAGAAGCUGUAAGGAAAGUGAUACAGGAAAUAAUGCUCAAAUUUUUAACUGUGAAAAUUAUUUGAGUAAGAAAAGGAAGUGGUAAAUAAUCUUUUGAAUGUUUUCAAAUUCAAACUGUUUACUCUAAGACUUUUAGGCUUAAUACAGUGGUAACUUCUUUCUUCCACAAGAAGAGAGUGGAAGGCAUUUGACCUUCUGUUAUGCACUUAAUAGUACCCAAAAAUAGCAGGCAGGUUUUAUUUCCUGUGACAGCACACAUGAACUCAAAGAUAGAGACAGCCAUCUUUUUUUUUCUCUCAUAAUAAAUGCUCCUCUUCUACCUCAGAAGGAACACCAUCUGUCCAAGAAGAAAAUACACUCUUAUAAACCCUUUUUUCCAAUUGCUUGUCCCCACCAAGCAGGUACCUGUGGAACAGCUUGUUAUUCAGGGCAUUGUAAAUAUAAUGCAGUUUUUUUUUUUUUUUAAUCUUUGGCAGUUUACCUCCUCAAUCUGCAGGAACACAUCUGUAUGGCAAACAGGUAUACAGAUUAUAAGGUAAAUAGGUAUAGGACCAGAGAGAUUAUUGCAUUACAAAGGAGUAAUGAAAUAAAGAGCUUACCUGUAUCCUGGGCUCACAGAAGGGCUCCAAGAGAAGUGAUCUCCAGCUAAAGAUCCUUCCUCCUUGGGAGUCAGCCCUUAAAUGGUGUCUAGGCGGGGUGGAGCCAGGCUCCACCCCCUCUGGUCACUCAGGUGAAAUUGUGUUCACCUGUGCCCCUGCAGCUGACUCAGCGCUCGCCUCAGGUGGUCAAUCAGAGGUUCAGGCUGUGAUUCAACAGUUCCCAUACAACAUCGAAUGUUAAAGUGGGCAAAGAUAUUUUUAUUGCUGAAUGAGUCUGAUUUCCACUUUUGCAUUCUGCUAUUACAGUGCUUCUGUUUCCUGGCCUUUCCUUUACUCUUACAUGUUCCUGGACCACACCCCUAUAGGCUUACUGCUUUCAUUUGUCAUUUUAAUGCUGUUUUUUUUCAACAGUUCAUCUUCUUGACAUACGGACUUCCAUCCAGAUGAUAGUCCAUUAAAAGCUCAAGGGCAAAACAGGAUCUGGAAGACUGUAGUAUAAAGCUCUCAUCUACAUACUCUGAUUCUUUUGCUUGAGAAAAUAGUGUACUGAUAUAGGAGGUUUGAGAUUUUUUGUUGCUUUCUUUUCUUUUUUUCUACAUGCUCUCAAACUGACCUAACUAUACUUGAAAAAUGCUGGGUCAGGACAGGCUCCAUUUAUCCCAGAGUAUGUUUUGAGGACGUUUCCUAUGGCUUGGCAAUAGAAUAACUGGUAUGAUCAGAUAAACAUGGCUAUCUUGGCAUUGCGGGUGGCAUUUUCUUGGCAUUUUCUACAAAGACCACUUUUUUGUUGCUUACAAAGUACUGUUACACUAAACAAUCUCCUCAGUGUCAGUACAAUACAAUUCUAUAGAUUUCUGGGCUGCUGUGAUCUCAAAUUUCUAGGUCUGAUAGACAGACUUUAUGAUCACCUAUAGAACUGCUUCCUCUUUAGAAAUGAUUAUAUGAUGUUCACUAUAUAGCUGGGAAUAGUUAAUCAACAUGAAGCUAGCCUGUUUUGUAUAUUUUGAUAAUUUUCUUUUAAAUUACAUUGCUAAUUCUUUCUGUUAGUAAAAUAUGCAUGUUACUGAAAACCAGUUGUAUCGUAUCUCAGUUAAAUGUAUUUUUUAUUAAACUUCUUGAAGUACUGUUCAUUUAUUAAUACAUAUGAGCAUAACCAGUUUACCAAACCUUGAUCUUUUACACAUCAGGAACCUGUUAUAUCAUUUCUUAACACUAAUAUUUUUUUUGUGUGGCUGCUGUCCAGGCCUACGUGUCAUUUCCACUGACACUUUUUGGCAGUUCAAUAAAUAAUCCAGAUCCUGGGAUACUGUCCAUGCAGGGUCAGAUAUGUAUGUUGUGAUUUAUGCAUGAUUUUGACCUGUAGGAAUGGGUGUCACACUAUUUCUGUGAGCAGAUAGAUAGAACAAAAAAAAAAAAGAGGUAAAAGCUGCUAGCUAUCCAUCAGCAGUUCUCACUAAAUCUUAUGGAACACGUCAAAGUAGUGGACAUGCAGAGUGGCAGAUAAUAAGUAAGGAUGUCAGAGUCUUAUUUAUGAUAUAAGAAAUAUCUGGUAGGAUAGAAAGUAUACAAGGUUACAGGCGGUUUUAAAAUUGAGCUAGUAAUUUAUCCAGGAGCUAGAAAUUUCUGUAAUGACUGCUGACUUUCUGCUCUGGUGUUUAAAGUGAUGCUAAUUGAGCUUGGCAGAUUGGUUAGUUCCACUACAGUUAGUAUUACUGUACUUUUAUGUGGUUUUAUUUUGAUGUGCAAUAUAAUUUGAAUAAAUUAAACUGUGGUUAACCUAAAUUAUUAAUGAUUGCUGCAUGAAUACAAGGACUACAGGCAGGCCCAGAUAACACCUGCAAGGGAUUACUGAGACAAUAGCAAUAAAACAAUUGAUAAACACUGUUCCUUAAUUCUGUGAAACUUUUCAUACCUGUAGUGAUUUAAUGAGGUGAGAGAGACUACACACUGAAACAGGGAAUUCAAUAGAUUUCUUGCCUAAAUUGUCAUUGAUCUUUUACUGUUUACUGGACUUGGUUACUACUGCUGCAUUGGUUUCGCUGCAUGAAAUUGUGAGAGCUAAGAAUAAUGGGGGAACCUCUUAUUUUACAUGGGAGGGGAGAGGGGUAAGGAAAGGAGAUGGUGCAAAGGAUACCAAGGAACCUGCCUGAGUGAGAAAGGUUAUAAUAGAAAGAGGAAAGUUUUGCAGGAAAGGAGAAGGAGAAGAGAUGGCAUUUAUUGCUGGGAGUUCUACAAUUGCAUGUAAUUUUUUUUUUUUUUUUACCUGAAAAUAUUCAGAAUUUAAAGUUUCCCCAUAACUCACCAUUUCAGCAGGUUGGGUUUUCAGAUAAUUAGAACUGUAUUUUUCUUUCAUUUGCAGUUACUUUCUGAACAUAAAGAUGACUUACUUGCUGAGAAUAUUUUUAAGUAAUAAAAGAAAAUGCCUUUCAUUUAAACCACAAUUUAGGCUUAAUCCAGAAAAUAGAAGUAUAGCUUUUCCAUGCCUUAGAAGACAAACAUCUCAGUAUGAAGCCCUAUAUAGUGCUGCAGCUUUGUCAUCCUUGGUUAUAUAAACAAUGAAACCAUAAGACAGAGUAGGAAGACAGAUUAGCUGUGUUUGAUUCUACUUAAAUUUAAUGGGUCUUGACACAAUGAAGCAUACUAAGAGAGUCUUUAAAAUAACUUCAUUAGAAUAGUGUCCUUCAGCAAUAUAAGAGAAUAUAAAAGUGUGAUAUUAGGCAGAAACAAACAAAAAGUUGCGAAUAUUACAAUUAAUCUGCUCUUGAGCAUGCUAAAUAUUACCAAGAAUAAAUGAUAUUUUUGGGAUAAAAAAAUGACUUAAAAAUACCAGGUUGAAAUCAAAUUUAAAGAAAAAAUGUACAUUUUUUUAAUCUCGUCCCUUGGAAUAUUUCAAAGUGGAGGACUUCAUAUGAGGCUGUCUUACAAGCACAAUUGUAUGACUUUCUGAAAGAAGUACAUUUUUAUGACUUUAUUAGGCUCAGCAUAAAAGUAUCAGGUAACAUUCUGAGUCUAUGUUGUAAAGAUAUGAAAAUAUAUUUGUCUCUGAACUAUCCCAUCUAGGACUAAUUGUAGAUAUGUUUCUUAUUUGUUAAUUAAUAUCUGAUCAACCAUUUUCUACUACUUCCUGAACUAGGAAAGAAAAAGAGAUUUAAAAUUGUCCUUUUUGUGAGUAUCAAGCUAUUGGAAGUAUAUAUCUUUCUAGCCACUUAUAGACUACUUUGUUUCUUAAAUACUAUAUAUAUAGUAUUUAAUACAUAUACUAUAUAUGUGUAUGUAUAUAUAUAUAUAUGUAUAUAUAUUGGUAUUCCAAGUUUUGAACCAAAUCUGAUUGUAUAGGUAUUGAGAGUAGCAAAUAGCUCUACUGGAUUCAUUGUGAGCACAAAGAUCCAACUGAAGAGUAAGACCCCUAAUAGCAAAG
This 7946-nucleotide long non-coding RNA is filed under the name Gallus gallus (chicken). Lineage: Eukaryota; Metazoa; Chordata; Aves; Galliformes; Phasianidae. The record is from RNAcentral.